GGUUGCAUAGUGUAAUGGUUAGCACAUCAGAUUCUGAGGCGUUUCGAACGCUCAUCAUUCUGGUAAUCUGAGUUCAAUUCUCAGUGCGACCU
Molecule: non-coding RNA, 92 nt
Organism: Gnomoniopsis smithogilvyi
Lineage: Eukaryota; Fungi; Ascomycota; Sordariomycetes; Diaporthales; Gnomoniaceae
Source: the annotation of a GenBank genome assembly